AGCCAGCAGCGCCCGGUCGGCCGCUGGCCGCAGGAGAAAGUAAACAACACCCCAAGUGUCCGGGAACAAAGGCAAGUUGUCUUUCUACGGUGCCGCAGCCGUGUGCCUCUUCUGAAGAAUAAGAGCUAUUAUUAUUCUUUAUGUCUUAUCCUUUUUUUUUUUUAAAAAAAAAACCAAGUUUCCUUCUAAGGGAAAUAAACACCAAAGGUAGGAUUCCAAGGAAAUGACUCACAGCGGCUGGCAGGGCUCUGGCGGGGCUGGCCCGGGCCCCCGCGCUCCAGCCCGCAGCAGAUGUCGGCCCGGCCUUCCCUCCCUCCCUUGCCGGCCAAACCCGCUGGAAGCCCGCGGUUGCGGGAGCGCCCUGCGCCCGUGGGACCUGGCGGCGAGGACGCCUAUUCCCUGCUUCUGCGACCACAGCUGGGCACUCGGAAAGUUGCUAGGGCCGAAGAGGCGGGAGGGGAGGAAGGGAAGCGAGAGGCGGAGGCGUGGACCAGGCGGGCAGCAGCCUCAGCCCGCCGAGGAGCGCCGCGGCAUCCGGACCUGGGGGCACCCCUCCUACUUAACCCCUUCCCCUACGAUGAGGGACUAAGCGGCCACGGAGGACCAUGAGGUCUCACCAGAGCUUCUGACCCCACCCGCCCCUGGAGUUGUCUCGGUGCGCGCGGGUGGCAGCCCGAGCAGCCCUAGAGGAGGCGGCGGUUCCCGCCCUGGUGAAGGCGCCGCGGCGCACGCUAGCCCAGGGAAAAGCCCGCGCCGCCUCCGCGCCCAGCUGUGCCUUGGCCCCCACGCCGCCCCGACUCCGCUCCGGCCGCUGCGAGUCCACUCGGUGACCUCGGCACAGCCCUGGUGCCAAGAGGGCGCGCGGGAGGCCGCGUGGGUGCCCGUCUGCGAGGGCAGGAGCCCCGGGGGGCCCUCGCCCUCCACCCUGCCCGGCCCUCCCGCCCCCGCGGCCCGCGCCCAGCCCGGCUCUUACCGCGGGGUCAGCGGGGAGGCGGCGGCCGCAGCGCUUGAGCUGCUGCUGGUCCGCUCUGGGCUCGGCGCCAGCCCGGCCGCCGGUGCACACUCGCGGGUCCCGGCCCGGCCGCCCGCUCGGCGGUGACUGCGGGUGCGCGGCGGGCAAGGGUCCCGGCAGGUCCCGCCGCCGCGACUGGGGCGCUGCGCCGCCGUCGCUGCAGACGGUUAUGGUAAUGAGCGGCUCUGUCUAGCGAGGAGCGUGUGAAACCCGUCAAUCCUGUUUGCCAUUUCCCCGUGGAUUUCCGAGGAGAGGUUCUGCAGGAUGCCCCCAGGUGAUCCUCCGACUGUGAAAAACCAGACCUCUGGCUGCCUGGCUCCCUAGGAAUCAAGAAGACGCACAGACUGAAAAUCAAGGGAGGAAGGAACAAGAUCAAGGAUGAGGAUUAGCAUCUGCAAAUUGAACUCUAUCUAAUUUGCAUGUUUAUUUCUUAGAAUUGUAAUUAAAUUUGUGUAAUAAAUGUUUUCCAUUUCAUUUGUACACUUAAAACUUGGGUGACUGACAUGCAGUUAAGUGAAUUUCCUUUUUUUAAAAGCAAAUGUAGAUUAUUCAAUAAAGCAGCAAACCAAUAUUAAACAUAAUUAGAACUAAU
This 1604-nucleotide long non-coding RNA is filed under the name Homo sapiens (human). RNAcentral's name for it is "non-protein coding SERTAD4-AS1:9". The record is from RNAcentral. Lineage: Eukaryota; Metazoa; Chordata; Mammalia; Primates; Hominidae.